Molecule: ribosomal RNA, 553 nt
Filed under: uncultured Entrophospora
Lineage: Eukaryota; Fungi; Glomeromycota; Glomeromycetes; Entrophosporales; Entrophosporaceae
Description: SSU rRNA
Rfam family: Eukaryotic small subunit ribosomal RNA
Source: RNAcentral
UUGGAGGGCAAGUCUGGUGCCAGCAGCCGCGGUAAUUCCAGCUCCAAUAGCGUAUAUUAAAGUUGUUGCAGUUAAAAAGCUCGUAGUUGAAUUUCGGGAUUGACACAUCAGUCGUGCCUUAAGGGGUAUGAACUGGUGUAGUCAAUUUCUCACCUUCUGGAGAACCACGAUGCCCUUAAUUGGGUGUCGCGGGGAACCAGGACCUUUACUUUGAAAAAAUUAGAGUGUUUAAAGCAGGCUCACGCUUGAAUACAUUAGCAUGGAAUAAUGAAAUAGGACGUUUGAUUCUAUUUUGCUGGUUUCUAGGAUCGACGUAAUGAUUAAUAGGGAUAGUUGGGGGCAUUAGUAUUCAAUUGUCAGAGGUGAAAUUCUUGGAUUUAUUGAGGACUAACCACUGCGAAAGCAUUUGCCAAGGAUGUUUUCAUUAAUCAAGGACGAAAGUUAGGGGAUCGAAGACGAUCAGAUACCGUCGUAGUCUUAACCAGAAACUAUGCCGACUAGGGAUCGGAUGAUGUUAAUUUUUUAAUGACUCAUUCGGCGCCUUACGGGAAAC